GAAAGCGGAGCAUGGCGGUCGCCACUGGCCAAAUCGGGAUGAGGUCGAAAGUCAAAGACUCGAAAACCACCUUCGAUUUCAGCUAAGUGAAUAUUACAGAACUACGUUCUGGAACAGCAGCCAAAAGCGGUCGGAACUGAAAAUAUCGAGAUGUGGCCAUAAAUCAAUGGAUUCCCAACCCUCCACGCAAAAGAGUAUGUCUAAAAAUUAAAAGCAAUCAAAUGGAAUUUCCACAAGUUAAUUGAAGUACAAAAGAGCAGAAACAAACACUUUCAGCAUAAUUCACACAGCCGCAAGAAGAGUUAAAGCAAUGAGCACAAGAUAAACUCGCAUACUAUUCACUGUCUGCACACGAGUUCGCACACACAGAAGGCAGGUGGUAUUCGCAAUGUAGUGGCCAAAUUGAACUAAACAAUCGCUUUGUGGCGCAGAUCCACACGCUCAAGUAGCUCGGAACCGCAAUGAGAAACCUUGA
Molecule: long non-coding RNA, 475 nt
Organism: Drosophila teissieri
Lineage: Eukaryota; Metazoa; Arthropoda; Insecta; Diptera; Drosophilidae
Exons: 3
Source: RefSeq, a predicted model, not a curated record